AGAGUUUGAUCCUGGCUCAGGAUGAACGCUGGCGGCGUGCUUAACACAUGCAAGUCGAACGAAGCACCUUGAUUUGAUUCUUCGGAUGAAGAUCUUGGUGACUGAGUGGCGGACGGGUGAGUAACGCGUGGGUAACCUGCCUCAUACAGGGGGAUAACAGUUAGAAAUGACUGCUAAUACCGCAUAAGACCACAGCACCGCAUGGUGCAGGGGUAAAAACUCCGGUGGUAUGAGAUGGACCCGCGUCUGAUUAGGUAGUUGGUGGGGUAACGGCCUACCAAGCCGACGAUCAGUAGCCGACCUGAGAGGGUGACCGGCCACAUUGGGACUGAGACACGGCCCAAACUCCUACGGGAGGCAGCAGUGGGGAAUAUUGCACAAUGGGGGAAACCCUGAUGCAGCGACGCCGCGUGAGCGAUGAAGUAUUUCGGUAUGUAAAGCUCUAUCAGCAGGGAAGAAAAUGACGGUACCUGACUAAGAAGCACCGGCUAAAUACGUGCCAGCAGCCGCGGUAAUACGUAUGGUGCAAGCGUUAUCCGGAUUUACUGGGUGUAAAGGGAGCGUAGACGGAGUGGCAAGUCUGAUGUGAAAACCCGGGGCUCAACCCCCGGACUGCAUUGGAAACUGUCAAUCUAGAGUACCGGAGAGGUAAGCGGAAUUCCUAGUGUAGCGGUGAAAUGCGUAGAUAUUAGGAGGAACACCAGUGGCGAAGGCGGCUUACUGGACGGUAACUGACGUUGAGGCUCGAAAGCGUGGGGAGCAAACAGGAUUAGAUACCCUGGUAGUCCACGCCGUAAACGAUGACUACUAGGUGUCGGGCAGCAAAGCUGUUCGGUGCCGCAGCAAACGCAAUAAGUAGUCCACCUGGGGAGUACGUUCGCAAGAAUGAAACUCAAAGGAAUUGACGGGGACCCGCACAAGCGGUGGAGCAUGAGGUUUAAUUCGAUGAUACGCGAGGAACCUUACCCGGGCUUGAAUUGCAGAGGAAGGAUUUGGAGACAAUGACGCCCUUCGGGGCCUCUGUGAAGGUGCUGCAUGGUUGUCGUCAGCUCGUGCCGUGAGGUGUCGGCUUAAGUGCCAUAACGAGCGCAACCCCUCUCCAUAGUUGCCAUCAGGUUAAGCUGGGCACUCUGUGGACACUGCCACCGUAAGGUGUGAGGAAGGUGGGGAUGACGUCAAAUCAGCACGGCCCUUACGUCCGGGGCUACACACGUGUUACAAUGGCAGGUACAGAGAGCCGGUCGUAUGCAAAUACGAUCCAAUCCUUAAAGCCUGUCUCAGUUCGGACUGGGGUCUGCAACCCGACCCCACGAAGCUGGAUUCGCUAGUAAUCGCGCAUCAGCCAUGGCGCGGUGAAUACGUUCCCGGGCCUUGUACACACCGCCCGUCAAGCCAUGAAAGCCGGGGGCGCCUGAAGUCCGUGACCGCAAGGAUCGGCCUAGGGCGAAACUGGU
RNAcentral lists this ribosomal RNA (1454 nucleotides) under metagenome. Its description in RNAcentral is "bacterial SSU rRNA". It matches the Rfam family "Bacterial small subunit ribosomal RNA". The record is from RNAcentral.